Scylla paramamosain (green mud crab) is the source of this 2411-nucleotide RNA transcript. RefSeq lists it as uncharacterized. The record is from RefSeq and is a predicted model, not a curated record. Lineage: Eukaryota; Metazoa; Arthropoda; Malacostraca; Decapoda; Portunidae. The transcript is spliced from 3 exons.
AUCAUCUUUAUCUUUCUCUCCUUUCUCACUUAUUUCCCUUAGGAUUGCAUACUCUAUAUUCUUCAUGUAGAUUAGUUUUUGAAGGUAUCAAUUUUAAGCCAGGUUGCCUGAAAAGAUUGGAUUGAAAACAUCAUACCUAUAGUCUGUUUUCAACUCACUAUUUACAGUGAUUGUGUUUGGUGGGUAGUAAAUGAUGACUGUUAAUUGAGUUAUUUCAUUUUAUUUUUUUCCUAUUAGUGAAAGUAAUGCGCAAAUUAACCUAAUUAUGAAAGUUUAUUGUGCAUUAUUGUCUGUCUAUGAUACGAAUUAUAGAAAGCCUAGAUCGACAAAACCACAAUAUUGAAAGGUAAAUUCAAAAGUUGAGCAGUGCGUCGUGGUAGUGGGUAGGAGCUGCCACGUCUUUGGCAAAGCGCAGGAUUGAAGGAAGUACAGUAAACAUCACUGAAUUACUUCCUUAAUUCUCUGAAAACUGACAAUUGACAAAUAUUUUGCCAUACUUAUAUUUGAAUGACCCUAAGACAAGACUGGUGUUGUACAGAAGUGGAGGAUGUGGAGACAUGUAAUGGAGAGAAAGGUGAUGCGUGUAUAGUAUCUUGGGAGGUAUCAGAGGAAGAGAAAAUGAUAGUGAUGAUUAUGACUUCUAAAGUUUAUUUCAGUGCAUUUUACACACACACACACACACACACAAUCACACACGUAUUCUCUUAGUGAGAAUAUUUCUGCGUUGCCAUAUAGUAACUGUUAGGUAGAGUGAAUGUGCAUUUAAACUAUCACUGAAACUAUGAAAAUUAUUAUUAUUAUUAGUAGUAAUAGUAGAUGAAGAGGAGAUAAUCAAGAAAAUGAAGGAAAAAUAGUUCUAGUUCUUCCUCCUCCUGUUCCUCCAGCUUCAUCUUUUAUCACGCACAGAUGCAGACCCAUGCCCCUUUCUCUCUCUUCCCCCUCACCCCAUCACCACCACCAAACACAGGCACACACGCUAGUUAAGAUGACGUCUGUCGCUCGAGUGCCUAAAAAGAUGCAUAAUUCAUACAAGGACACUCACUGUUUGUUAUACCAGUAAUGCUAUGAAGAGUGACACAGAGAGAUUGACCAAACUGUAGCAGUGUGUGUGUGUGUGUGUGUGUGUGUAGCUUUGGAGACACGGAGGAGUAGGAGGAUGUCACGCAAUUUCAUGAAAGUAACUCAAAAUGGUGUAUCGAGACAUGACGUGUCAAUGUGAGAGUGUUUCAGUCAGGAGUAUGAACCCAUGCGAACCAAUGUAUUCGGCGCAAGCAAGAAGCGAGGGCGAGACAGAGUGGGUCUGCCCAGGAUUGGGCAAUGUGGUGUCUCCCGUUCCCCUUCCCUGCCCUGCCUGGGUGAUGCUGUGAACUUGUGAGUGUCAGCAGGGGUGUAGAAGACAAGUCAUAAGAACAUAAGAAAUAAGGGAAGCUGCAAGAAGAGAACAGGCUUACACGUGGCAGUCCCUGUAUGAAAUAUACCUACCUAUUUCCACCUAUCAUCCCCAUCCAUAAACCCGUCUAAUCUUCUCAAGUCGUGCCAGCAGGAAGCGUCUCCGCAGCCCUCCUGUCAGGGAGAGGGGGCGCCGUGUCCCAGGAGCUGUCUCUAACUGGCCAGCUAAUGCCUCUUGAUGUCUACAGGGCGGUGGUGAGGCAGGUGAGGACUCAAGUCCCCAGAGGGAAGAGGCGAGGCGGUAGUGGAGAGGCGGACAGGAAUGCUCUGCCACAGUGAGGGUUGUUUCCCUGAAUGAUGCAGGCGGUGGUGUGAGGGGAGCCAUGGUCCUAUCAUAAAGAUGUCAGUUGAUCUGACCUACACGUUACUGCUUCACACCUAUGCUGCGGUGACGCUAAAUGAGGUGUUGGGCAGGGUAUUGUGUGUCAAAACACGCAACGAACCCUUCAAGAAGAUAUAUGUUAAAAAGGACGUGCACCCAGCAGUAAGGAAAGAACGGCAGAGACCGGGAUGCGGAGAGGACAGAGAAGAAGCUUUACAAGAAUGACUGUGUUAUCAAUGGCUGGAGGCAACAGGCUUUUUAAAUGACCCACAACGAGUGAGCGAAUUGUCUAUAAUCUGGAAUGUGAACGGAUUUCAUAAAUAGUUGAAGAAAAAUCAAGUGUUACAAGUGCUAACUAGUAUGGUGUUGUGUGAAGUAAAAACGAACCUGCAAAUAUACGGCUACGUAUUUUGUCGCAGUGAGGUGGUUGGGUCGUGGAGCCUCGGCGGUGUUGUGGUGUGUGUAAAGAGUUAUGUUCAUUGGUUCCUGGGAUGGAUGUGAGUAGUGGUGAUCAGGUGUGGCUUCAGUUCAUUAGUGUGCCUCGCACCAUGUGUUUUGCUACACACCGCCGAGUGACUCCUUGUUUUUCGAAUGUGUCAUUUGCUGCUGUACAAGAAAAAAUGCAUUUUUGCCAUUUAAA